CAUAAACCAAGAAACUGAAUGUAGCUUUGAAGAUAUCUCUAACAAUUAAGACAAAGGAUUAUAUACAUAAGCAUAAAACUUUUCUUUAAAUCGUCGUAUUCAGCACACUAACACACGCGCAAGAAAAAAAAACCUUUUUAAUGACAUUUGGGGAUUAUUUGAUCAUGAUAAAGAUGAUAUCCUAUUGUAUAAACAAUUUCAAGAAUCAGGGCAGUCUCACUUUGAAAGAUUUGUUUUAGAGUAGACCUUAGUUCAAGGGUUUCUGUUUUAAGUUUCCAGAUUUAUACGCCAUUAGACCAUUAUUUGGAAGCAAAGUAUGAGCCGAGACUACGAUCUUAUAUGUUUUUUUCCUUUUUUGUAAAACUGCAUCAAUCCUCAUUUUUACUAUUUGUUUUUUAACCAAGCUUUUAUUUUCUUUUUUUUUCUUUUUGUUUUGAAGAUUUUGGACAGUGUCAUCGUUUGAAUUUGUUUAAAUAAAAACAUGACAUACUUUGACGGAAAACAAUCUAUUCUAUUGUUACUAAACUUAUAUCGACAUUGAUAGAAAUAAGGCUUUCAGAGUUUGAAUUAGAUACGGAAUAAGGCUUUCAGAGUUUAAAUUAGAUACGGAAUAAGCCUUUCAGAGUUUAAUUUAGAUACAUUGGAAUUUUAUUGACAAACAAAAACACACGAUAGACAAAGAAACAAAAAAAUGACAACCGAAUAAGCAGGAUAAUGCCUAGUAGAAGUUCAGACAAAUUGUUAUAUACAAACGACAUGAUGCAGGAAUUUAUUGAAUAGGUGUACGAGAAAAAAGUUAUAUGACAUAUUUAAAGACAAUAUCCUCUAUUGUUUAUGCGCAUAUACAAGCGCAACAGUACUAUGUCGUCAGCGGUUUAUGACGUCGCGGUUUCCGCGAACUGGAAACGUUUAUUAGAGUUAUUCCUCUUUGAGCCGAUGGAGAGAGUGACAAUCGUUUUGAUAGGUUAAUUUGCCGAGAAAAAAAUGAAAAUUGUUUUUAUAUCAUAGACAUGUUCUAGAAUUGGAUAAAAUAUGAGAAUGAAAAGAGAGUCAACUAUAUAGCAAUCUAACAACAAAAAAUACACAAAAAUGACUGUAAAGAAACGAAACAGAAUCUGGAUACUCGACAACAAGAUGAGCCAAUCAAAUUAUAAUAUAAUACUUUUUUCUUUAAUUUUCUACACGUAUAGACUUUCGUAGGUUCUUAAUUAUAUCGAUAUUUUACAAAUCAUUAAGAAAGUACAAAAUCAUCAAUCAUUCUGGUCAUGUCCUCAAAAUUCAAUUUAUCUCUAGCAAAAGAUACAAUACGUACCUAUAUAUAUAUAUGGAUAUGGUAAAUUGCACUGACGUAUUUUCAAUGUGUACGGCACUUACAGUUUUACAUGAAUAUGAUAAUUAGAUUUCUGAUAAACACCAACAAAACAGUAACCUAACGACGCAUACAUGUAAAACAAAGUACACCUAGAGAAGUUAAAAUAUAAGCUUCUAACAUUGUAGGUUUUUUAUAUUACCAUUCCGAGUUUGUUCCGAUUUACCAAAUUUGAUAUUUAUGUAUAAGGUGCGCAAUUUUUGUAUAAAAAAAAACGUAAUCGUGUCUGUGUUAAAAAGUUGUCGGAAUGAAGAAUUACAGAGGAAUGCAUAUGAAAAAAAAAUCAAUUAAAAGGAGAUUUGAGAAAAGAGGUCGGACUAGGUUUUAUUCAUACUCACGGUAUGACAGCUGUAUGAGUAUACUUAGACUGAGUUUCUAGCAACAUUACAGAAUAUUUCGAUAUUCAUAGAUGCCUAAGGAUGAAUAAUCAAAACAGAAAUGAUAUUAAUUAGACCCCAUUAACACUUGCACGGAAUUGAAAUAAAAUCGAUCUCAGAAAUGAACGAUCUUUAUUGUUAGUAGAAACGGAGUCUUAGAUUUCUAAUGAUUUUAAGUAAUUAUCAUCAAAAUAAAAAAGGAACAACAUUUUUAAACGAAAUUAAAAUUCAUGAUAACCGAAGAAAAAUUCUGUCUUGUCUUUCAGAUAUACUUUGAUUGAACAAUGAUAUUAAAUAAAAAUGUCUUCACUAUUUUAAAAAGAAUUUCUGUUCAACACAUAAGCACUAUGAAUAACCUGAAAUGAAAUGUUCAUAGAAGCAUUCGUGUGUACAUAUGUACAACGCAUUGUUUUCCAACCACCGCAUUUAUAUUACGUGUCUGAUACUGACUGAAAACUAAGUACUAUCAUGUGUGGGUUGUCUCUAAUUUGUAAGAAUAUAGCCAAAACCGGUCGAACGUCUUUCGACGUUGUUUUUAGAAUUGGCGCAAUGUGUUCCCGCCAAUUCAAAAUUGUUAACCCCUUUUCAGAAAUAUCUCUUUUUCCAUUACGGUGACCCCAUAUUUUUAUUUCCUUAUUUUGUUUAGAUAUAAACAACGCAUAUUCUACUGAAGACUCAUGGAGAAAUUAU
Molecule: long non-coding RNA, 2436 nt
Filed under: Mytilus galloprovincialis (Mediterranean mussel)
Lineage: Eukaryota; Metazoa; Mollusca; Bivalvia; Mytilida; Mytilidae
Source: RNAcentral